GGUUGUGUAGUGUAGUGGUUAUCACUCGAGAUUUUGAAUCUACCCAAUCAUUCUUCUCGUAACCCCGGUUCGAACCCGGGCACGACCU
Mycena vitilis is the source of this 88-nucleotide non-coding RNA. The record is from the annotation of a GenBank genome assembly. NCBI's taxonomy places the organism in Eukaryota, Fungi, Basidiomycota, Agaricomycetes, Agaricales, Mycenaceae.